AUUGAACGCUGGCGGCAUGCUUUACACAUGCAAGUCGAACGGUAACAGCACUUCGGUGGCUGACGAGUGGCGAACGGGUGAGUAAUACAUCGGAACGUGCCUAGUAGUGGGGGAUAACUACUCGAAAGAGUAGCUAAUACCGCAUGAGAUCUAAGGAUGAAAGCAGGGGACCUUCGGGCCUUGCGCUACUAGAGCGGCUGAUGGCAGAUUAGGUAGGUGGUGGGAUAAAAGCUUACCAAGCCGACGAUCUGUAGCUGGUCUGAUAGGACGACCAGCCACACAGGGACUAUGACUCAGCCCAGACUCCUACGGGAGGCAACAGUGGGGAAUUUUGGACAAUUGGCGCAAGCCUGAUCCAACAAUGCCGCGUUCAGUAUGAUGGCCUUCAGGUUGUAAACUGCUUGUGUACGGAACGAAAAGCCCGCUGCUAGUGCAGGAGGUUCAUGACGGUACCGUAAGAGUAAGCACCGGCUAUCUACGGG
This 482-nucleotide ribosomal RNA is filed under the name uncultured bacterium. RNAcentral's name for it is "partial 16S ribosomal RNA". It matches the Rfam family "Bacterial small subunit ribosomal RNA", at positions 30 to 507 of the family's 1533-position model. The record is from RNAcentral.